RNAcentral lists this long non-coding RNA (567 nucleotides) under Homo sapiens (human). RNAcentral describes it as "HSALNT0293943". The record is from RNAcentral. Lineage: Eukaryota; Metazoa; Chordata; Mammalia; Primates; Hominidae.
GUGCUUGAACACAGAACAUCUCACUUAACUCUUAGCACAAUCCUUAAGAGCCAAAUGUGUGAUCCCCCUCCAGAAAAGACUUGAGUCUUUACAGUUGGAAUUUCCGUGUCGUGAGUGGAAAAUAAGAAGCAAACCCAAGAGUUAAAAGCAAGAGGGCUUGAGAAGAGAGAAGAAUCAGUGAAAUAAUCUCUUGACUGGAAGAGUGAGUUGACUGAGGAAAUCAGCUGGAAUUGCCAGGCAGCACGAAGGGUUUGAGAUCACUUAAAAUUUGAUGUUAUUGUUGGGUCUUUAAGAUUAAGCACCAAACUCCAGACCCCAUUUUUCUCUUACCCCUCAAACAUGGUCUUCUUUAAGACAUAAUAACAUCAUUAUUUUAUUUGAUCUGACAAGCAUUUGUGUUGCACCUAUCCAAGCCUCUGGUGCAGAGGUGCAGUCGAGGGCACGUUCUCUCCAGGGACAGACUGGUUGGUGGGUAGAGACAAGAGAGAAAGAGAGAGAGAGGGAGAGAAGAAAAGGUUGAUUCCAUUGGGAGUUUUGCCUUCAUCCUCCAUGAACAGAGGGAAAUCA